This 253-nucleotide ribosomal RNA is filed under the name uncultured bacterium. RNAcentral describes it as "partial 16S ribosomal RNA". It matches the Rfam family "Bacterial small subunit ribosomal RNA", at positions 524 to 776 of the family's 1533-position model. The record is from RNAcentral.
UACGUAGGGGGCAAGCGUUAUCCGGAAUCAUUGGGCGUAAAGCGCACGUAGGCGGAUCGAUCAGUCAGGGGUGAAAUCCCAGAGCUCAACUCUGGAACUGCCUUUGAUACUGUCGGUCUAGAGUAUGGAAGAGGUGAGUGGAAUUCCGAGUGUAGAGGUGAAAUUCGUAGAUAUUCGGAGGAACACCAGUGGCGAAGGCGGCUCACUGGUCCAUUACUGACGCUGAGGUGCGAAAGCGUGGGGAGCAAACAGG